Molecule: ribosomal RNA, 485 nt
Filed under: uncultured bacterium
Lineage: Bacteria
Description: bacterial SSU rRNA
Rfam family: Bacterial small subunit ribosomal RNA
Source: RNAcentral
CUACGUGCCAGCAGCCGCGGUAAUACGGAGGGUGCGAGCGUUAAUCGGAAUAACUGGGCGUAAAGGGCACGCAGGCGGUGACUUAAGUGAGGUGUGAAAGCCCCGGGCUUAACCUGGGAAUUGCAUUUCAUACUGGGUCGCUAGAGUACUUUAGGGAGGGGUAGAAUUCCACGUGUAGCGGUGAAAUGCGUAGAGAUGUGGAGGAAUACCGAAGGCGAAGGCAGCCCCUUGGGAAUGUACUGACGCUCAUGUGCGAAAGCGUGGGGAGCAAACAGGAUUAGAUACCCUGGUAGUCCACGCUGUAAACGAUGUCGAUUUGGGGGUUGAACUUUAGGUUUGGCGCCCGUAGCUAACGUGAUAAAUCGACCGCCUGGGGAGUACGGCCGCAAGGUUAAAACUCAAAUGAAUUGACGGGGGCCCGCACAAGCGGUGGAGUAUGUGGUUUAAUUCGACGCAACGCGAAGAACCUUACCAGGUCUUGACAU